GUAGGUGGCAAGCGUUGUCCGGAAUUAUUGGGCGUAAAGCGCGCGCAGGGCGGUCCUUUAAGUCUGAUGUGAAAGCCCACGGCUCAACCGUGGAGGGUCAUUGGAAACUGGGGGACUUGAGUACAGGAGAGGAAAGCGGAAUUCCAAGUGUAGCGGUGAAAUGCGUAGAGAUUUGGAGGAACACCAGUGGCGAAGGCGGCUUUCUGGUCUGUAACUGACGCUGAGGCGCGAAAGCGUGGGGAGCAAACAGGAUUAGAUACCCUGGUAGUCCACGCCGUAAACGAUGAGUGCUAAGUGUUAGGGGGUUUCCGCCCCUUAGUGCUGCAGCUAACGCAUUAAGCACUCCGCCUGGGGAGUACGGCCGCAAAGGCUG
RNAcentral lists this ribosomal RNA (373 nucleotides) under uncultured organism. Its description in RNAcentral is "partial 16S ribosomal RNA". It matches the Rfam family "Bacterial small subunit ribosomal RNA", at positions 527 to 896 of the family's 1533-position model. The record is from RNAcentral.